CAGUAGCCACGGUAAUGCGUAGGUGGCAAGCGUUGUCCGGAAUUAUUGGGCGUAAAGCGCGCGCAGGCGGAUCAGUCAGUCUGUCUUAAAAGUUCGGGGCUUAACCCCGUGAUGGGAUGGAAACUGCUGAUCUAGAGUAUCGGAGAGGAAAGUGGAAUUCCUAGUGUAGCGGUGAAAUGCGUAGAUAUUAGGAAGAACACCAGUGGCGAAGGCGACUUUCCGGACGAAAACUGACGCUGAGGCGCGAAAGCCAGGGGAGCGAACGGGAUUAGAUACCCCCGUAGUCCCUGUCUCUUAUACA
This 301-nucleotide ribosomal RNA is filed under the name uncultured bacterium. RNAcentral's name for it is "partial 16S ribosomal RNA". It matches the Rfam family "Bacterial small subunit ribosomal RNA", at positions 509 to 809 of the family's 1533-position model. The record is from RNAcentral.